AAACAUCAAUUACUUAUUUUAAGCAGUUAAAGUAGAAUCUUGCCAAAAAUAAUAUUUCCUCAUCUUGUUCAAAUUGUUAAUACUACUUUCCCUUUUAGCUAUUAAAGAUGGAUCAAAGAGUUACCACCCAAAGAUUUGUUUUUAAGAACCAGGUAGGUCUAAAAAAAUUGGAGGGGAAAAAACAAUCACCACCAGUUCCUCCAAUAAAGCAGAAGGCUAAAUACAAUGAAAUUUUGCCUGUGCUUCAAAGGGAUUAUUUGUACUAUUGCAUCUUUUGCUACUCCAGUAUCUUUCAAUUAUCAGCACAAUACCUCACAUCUUGGUCUUGGUAGAUCCAGAACUCCUUUAGCCAGGAGGAGUCAAAUGUGAACUCCUUGUCUGUUAUCCCCUUCAAAACAACGUUAUGGAGUUAGAAUUAUAGUGAUUCCUUAUCACAUAAUCAGUCAUUCAGUCCAAAAUAAUGAUUGGUGUCAUGGUCUUCAUAAGAGUUAAUUUUUUCUUCUAAUAAUAGUUACAUAAUAUCAUUUUAAACAUAAAUGCUGAUUCCAAAAAUGUUUUCAUUUUAAUCUUUAAUUAUUUCUUUCAAACUUAUGGGCUUUGAACUGAAAAAAUAUAAUGCAAAUCUCUUUGUUUAUAUGUAAUUUUGGAAAAAAUGU
RNAcentral lists this long non-coding RNA (656 nucleotides) under Androctonus crassicauda. Lineage: Eukaryota; Metazoa; Arthropoda; Arachnida; Scorpiones; Buthidae. The record is from RNAcentral.